This 398-nucleotide ribosomal RNA is filed under the name Lebinthus bitaeniatus. Its description in RNAcentral is "partial 12S ribosomal RNA". The record is from RNAcentral. Lineage: Eukaryota; Metazoa; Arthropoda; Insecta; Orthoptera; Gryllidae.
UAUUAUAUUUAGUAUUAUGAUAUUUGCUGGGGUAGUAUUGUAAUUUUGUGAAACCCAAAGAAUUUGGCGGUGUUUUAGUCUUUUCAGAGGAAUCUGUCCUGUAAUUGAUAAUACACGAUUGGUUUUACUUAAUUUUGUUAUCAGUUUAUAUACCGCCGUCAUAAGAUUAUUUUUGUUUAAGAAUUGAAAUUUUCUUGUUUUUGAAAUAAAUGUGAUGUCAGGUCAAGGUGUAGCUUAUGAUUAAGUGGAGAUGGAUUACAAUAGUAUUAAUUAUUACGGAUAAUUAAUUUUAAUUUGAUUUGAAGGUGGAUUUGAUUGUAAAUUUAUUUUUAAUUUUUAUAUUGAUUGGAGCUCUAGAAUGUGUACAUAUCGCCCGUCGCUCUCGUUAUUAAAGUGAG